Molecule: long non-coding RNA, 6484 nt
Organism: Musa acuminata AAA Group (dessert banana)
Lineage: Eukaryota; Viridiplantae; Streptophyta; Magnoliopsida; Zingiberales; Musaceae
Exons: 8
Source: RefSeq, a predicted model, not a curated record
CUUUGAUGAGGACCUUCUCUGGCCUUUUUCUAUGUCUGUUUUGGUGGUUCUGAAAUGAAGUCAUCUCCUUUUCUUUCAUCCGAUCCUUCACAUUUUUUUUUAAUUUCUGAGAUUUACAUGUAUUUUUUUGUCUGUUUUUGGAUUUUUGUGCACACUUUCCUUAAUGACGUGGGAGCAACAAAAUAAUAUUUCUUCUCGAGCUUUUCCAGACCUAAUGAUUAAUGUACAAUUUCCUGUGGUUGACACUGUUGUUCAUGCAUUAAUCUGUGGAAAAAAGACAUUUUUCCUCCCAUCAAAGGCUGGCUGGCAGGCAGAUAGUUGAAUCGCCAAGAAAUCUUUGUUCAACAAGCUAUCAUCCAUGGAAGACUUUUGGGUCAUCAGACCUGUGAAGUCGAACCAGCAAUUUUUUCCCAUUAAAUCUGGGCAACUGAGAUAGAAUCUAUCUCAUGAGCCACUUGAUGCCUUGUAUUGUAGAAGGGGAUUCACAGCCUUCCCCAUUGACAUGGCAAGAAAAGAUCUGGCUUCAUGGGCACUCCCCGCCACUCUUUCUCCUGUUCUUUUGUUCUUCUCCUCUUAUCCUCAAUGCUUCUUAGAUAAAUUCUCCACCAGAGGUUGAAGAUCUUGAAGGCACAUGGUCUCUUGCAGGGUGCAACUGGAUUGCUCUGUGGAGGAGGGCCCAAGGAUGUCACUUUAUGAAGUCCUGCUUACCACACAAUCUCAUCUGUUUGGAAACACCAUCUGAACCUGCCUGGUACCAUCAAAGAAGAGCACUGAUCCCAUAAAUGACAAAUGUCAAAUGGCAUGUUACAUACUGAAAUUGGUGGAUGACAACAAAUUGAAUUUUGUGCUUGGUUAUGCAACAAGAACAUUAUAUUUUGUUAAGAACUGCUUGAACUUUGUACAAGUUUGCUGAUGUUACUUUCUGCCAUAUCUUUUGCAGGAAGCCAACAAGGUGACUGACUGGUGUCUGGUAGUAAAUUUACUAUACCUCGAAGGAUAAAACGGAUAACGGUGUUGGAAGUAAAACUAGAAAGAAUCUGAAAAUGAAUGGUGAGAAGAGGGGCAAGGGUUGGAUUGGGAAUGAUGUAGCGUUUCCUUCAAAUUUGAGCUCUGAUGGGGCCCUGGCAGUUGCCUUCUUCUGGCUUUAACAUGGAUGUGUAAAGCUAAGGCCUUAAAUCCUUUAGAGUUGGCAUGUGGGGAGCCACAUGUUUCAGCUGUUCUCUAGCUUUUACUACUGGAAUUUCUCCCUGUCCAUUUGAGCUUCUGCGUGAAUUGGUGUUAGCUUUUAAGAGGAGGUUUAAAGGGAAUGGGUGACAAGGCAGACACAGUGAAAUCUUAUCUUUCACCAUCUUGACAAGGCUAGUGAUAACAAGAACUUGGUAUACCAUUUUCUGGGGAGAAAUAGGAAAUGGGAAAUGAGAUUACUAUUUACAAUCCCUAUUUUACUAUUUAUAACCUCAUUUUAAAUUUUUUUAAUAUGUAUAAACUACUCAUUUGUAAAUGUACGUAAAUACUCUCUUCUUCCUCCUCUUCAUCAUCUUCUUCUUCUCCUUCUCUUCUUCUUCCUCCUCUUUUUCUUCCUCCUUUGAGGAUGGUGUCGAGGGGAUGGUGAGCUGAGUUGGACGAUGUCGAGCGGCAUCAAUAGUGAGCAGUGACGACAACAGAGAGCAGCAUUGGCGGCAACCUCGACUAAUAAGGGGUUAUGGGGAAGAAAAAGGGGUAAAAUUAGUAAUAUUGGGGUUGUAAAUAAUCAAAUAAUAUUUUUAUUAUUUUUUAAGGAAUUUUCAAUAACAAGAGGUUGUCAAUAAUAAAAAAUAAGCUAUGAAUAGCAAGCUUCAAUAGGAAAUGAUUGAAAGAAGAGAGUGAAAUCUCUUUCCUUAUAUUUAUUUGACUAUUUAAGCUCAGGUGGAUGAGAACAGUCUAAAUUUCAUGGGCAUUUUACUAGAAAAAAUCUCCACUAUUGGUUUUUUAUCGGAUGACACCCCUCAUAUUCAUUUUUAAUUGGGGAUUUUUUUUUCUAUUUAGAUGAAAAUAACCUUGUUCUUUUACUAAAAUGACUUGAUCACAUAUGUUAUUAAAAAAGAUCGAUAAUUAAUCAUCAUAAAAAUUUCAAAAAAUAAAUUAGGUGAUACUAAUCAUUUCAGAAUUAAUAGGAUAAAUUCUAAAAUGAUUAGUAUUAUUUUUUGUUUUAAAAUUUUUUAUGAUAAUUAAUUAUUAAAAUUAGAGUUUUUUUGAAUAACAUAUAUGAUCAAGUCAUUUAAGUAAAAGUAUGAGAGAAAUUUCAUCCAAGUGGAAAAAAAAAGCACACCUAGGUAAAACCGAAUAUGGGGUGUCAUCAAUAAAAAGUCAAUAUUAGGUGUUUUUUUGGGUAAAAUGCCCAAAUUUCUUUCAAAAAGUUCAUCAAAAUUUUUUCUUUCAAUAUUUUUGUCCCAAUAAUUCUGCAUUAACCUCUAAGGGUACAUAUUUUUGCAUAGUAAUGUGUGUGUAUAUAUAUAUAUCAAUUUUCCUAAAAAACCUCAUUUUUCAUUUUUUUCUUAGAUAGUGCCCUAUAUUUUUUGUAAUCUUGUAAAUAUCCUUGCCCUUCCCCACCUGUUGCCUCCAUUGCCUACUCCCAUUGCUAGGCUCCACUGCCUCCGUUCUUAACACCGCCCGCCCUUCCCCACGAGCAGAGGCAUUGAGUGGGGAAGGGCGGGUGGCAUCGCACAGAGACAGCGAGAUCUCAUGGUGGGACUAGGGGACAAAGACAAUGAACGGGGAAAGGCGGGCAAUGCCCCAUCACCUUGUGGUGAGGCGAAGGCGAUGGAGGCAACGGGCGAGGAAGGACAAAGAAAAUUAUGAGAUUAUAGAAAAUAGGGGCACUAUAUGAGAAAAAUGAAAAUAAAGGCAUCUUGUAGAAAAAAACGAAAAAGGGAUUAUAUAUAUAUAUACAAAUAUAUAUAUAUAUACACGAAUAUAUAUAUAUAUAUAUAUAUAUAUAUAUAUAUAUAUAUAUAUAUACAUAUAUAUACAUAUAUAUAUAUACACACACAUUAAUAGCCGUACAUUACAAACUUUUAACAGAAAUAUACCUCCAUUUAGUUUUGGAAAUCACAAUAUUAAAAGUGUUGGUCAACAAAUUACAUUAUCAUUUUAACCAGUUGCACAAGUACUCAUACAUUUAUGUUUUGACUUCUUAAUAUCAAUCCUUAGUUUGUAGCAUAUUUUUGCAAAGAAAUCCAAUUUUACAGGACAUUAUUAAUAACAUAUUGUGGGCAUUUGGCUUAUUUGUGGCCUUCAAUUAAGUCCCACUGAAAUAGAUUGUUGUUUGGUGCCUUCAGAUGACUUUUUAUUUUCUGUAGGGAAUCUCAAACUGGGUGGGAUACUGAAGAAGUUAUAAAUUCCCAGGAACGUUACUGUAACUUGUCAUAUUCGGAGCAGAAAAAGAGGAACAAAAUAUUCGUUGAUAAUUUUCAAAAGAGAAAUUUUUAAUAUGCAGAAUUUACAUGAUAGUUUAUAAUGUUUACAUUUUUAUUAUUUUUUUCUACUAAACUUUUCCUUUACAGAGGCUAGAAGGGAUGAACCCAUUGGAUGAGACUUAGUGGACUGGAUGGUAUCAAUGUACUCAGCCUAAUAAAAAUCCCUGAUACAUAACCAGUCCAUGAUCUGCUGGUUCUGUAUCAGCAGCAAUUUGGUCCUUGAACCACAACUUUCGUUUAGAAUUAUAUGGAAGCUGUAGUUGUUUCUUUUUCAUCCGAGUCUUAAAAUGGUUAUUCUUUUAUGCAUAUCUUCCUUGAUUGGAGUUAUAUGCUUUAUCCUAUUCAAAGAAAACAAUUCUUUCAUGGAUUAUGUGUCAUAUUUCUUACCAAUGUGGAAUUCCUUUUUCUCGAUGGUUGUAGGUUUGUGAUUGCAUCUACAUAAAUGUUACUCUUGUUGGUAAACAAGAAACCCUCUUUUGAUAGAUCUUUGGUGUGAAUUGUGGAAAGAUGAAGGAAGAAGGGUCUCGAGAAGUUCUAAGAUUGUUGGGAACAUCAAGAUGAUGUUAAUGCAAAUACUAGUUGAUAUUAGGGUGGGCAACUGUUUGUCGAAGGAUCCUUUAUGACUAUUCAACAGAUACUGCACCACUCAAAGCAAUUUCAGAUUAUGGGAACAGAACUAAAGAUCUUCUGCUCAUUCAGAUCACCACACCAUGCAUGUUGAGUCUGUUCAAGCUUGUCCUCUCCAAAUUGUUUCAUGCAUGAGGGCAAAUCUUUAUGACAGGCUCUUAUCCCUAUAGUGGUGUCAUGUGUAUCUUGCUCCUUUUGUGAUCGAUCAGAAGUCAAGCAACUGUCUACUGAAUAAUCAGCAAAGUGGGCUGGAGUUAGUUGUGACAUAUGCAGGACAGGAAUUUCUUCCACACCUAGAAAUGAGUUGCCAAAGCAUUCACCUGAGACUUUAGUGACCAGCUCCGAGAGUUGGACUUUGGCAACUUCCAGCCCUACAGAACCUAAGCUCUGCUUCUCAAGUCUCUCUUGGGCCUUCUCCAGCACCAACUGCAAAUACCUUCCCUGUGCCUCUAUUCGUACUUCUUUUAUUUGCAGGGGAGCUGUCAAAGAAGCAUCUGGCCAUCCAAACAAGUUCUUUAAUGUUUUGGGUUCUCAAUGGUGUGUGCCAUUUCAGACCGUUCACAGAGAGGAAUGGUGAGAUCCCGAGUAGACUUCAGGUCACAGAAUGCUGUUCCAGAUUUAAAUAAAAGAUCAUGAAUGAAUGAUUCUUUGGCAGUCAGUCAUGCAGCUAAGUGGUCAUCACAAACACCACCCGGUUUGCGUACCUUACAUGAGCCGUCAGCGGGUCCACUUUUCCCCGAAUGACAAGACGAGCAGGUAGUCGAGUGGUAACCAAACGGGCUGUUGUUAUUACAUGAGCCGUCUUCCGCCUCGCAACCCGCGGGUUCGAUCGGUGGGAUGGGAUCUUUUUCGCGAAUGCCGGAGAAGGAAGGCGUCGGGGAGGCGGCGGAAGACGAAGAUCGUGUACGACUUGGGCCCUGCGUCGAGGUCGAUUAGGGUGAACGUUGCCCAGGAUCAACUUUUAUUCCGCCGUUCCCGCUCCAUUCACCGGGAAAGACCCUAGACAAUCUCCGCAGAGCCCUGGAGAAUACCGGCUUUCUCUGCGCCGCCAUUCUCGACGCAAAGGGUCCAGGUUCCAAAUGGAUUUUCCAAAGGUGGCAAAUGUAUCCAUUUGAAGAAGUGUCAACAAAUCACCGUCGCUAUUGGUUACCGCAUUAAGGGUGACGAUACCAUGAUAGCCAUGAGCUACAGAAAGUUGGCUGAGGAUUUGGAGCCAGACUGUCACAUUAUAUGCUAUUGAGGCUAUUGCACUUGUGGUUCUUUCUGUGAGUAGUUAGGGCUGGUCAGUUGCUCCGUUAGAAUUCUGCAAUUCUUGGAGAGAGAGAAAACAUAAAUCUUCCAGGUGUUGUGAUCCUUUUGCACCAAUAGAGAAGGAAAAGGAGAAUAUCCUAGAAAAGGGACAUCCCAAACAAAAUUGGCAUGAUUGCCUUCUCCCUUAUAACCAGAGGUUCCAACUUUCUGAAGUUUGGAAAGGCUCGGAAUCAAGAAGGGGUAGCCAAUUUUGAUGCUACUCUUGUGAAUUUUUAUGGUUGCACGGAGAGAUUUGAGAAUAGAAAUUCCUUUUGAAAAGAUAUAAUAUGCUUGAAAUUUGAUGUCCCCCUUCAAGUAGAAGCAACUGUUGUAGCUAAUGCUGUUCUUGAUUGCAGUGACUGAGACGUGCUCAGUGGUGAAACAGCUGGAGGUGCUUACCUGAAACUAGCAAUUCAGAUUGCUCGGAAGAAGUCUCUUUUAUGGAUCAUGGAUCUGUUUUAAAGGAAUCAUGGCAGAACACCUGUACAUAUGAGUCCUGUUGAGAGCCUUGCAUCAUAGUUUGUCUGAAAUGCUAAUCCUACUAAGGCAUCUCUCGUCUUGGUCCUGACCAGUAGAGGAAGUUUUCUAAACUAGCAAAAUACAGGCCAGCAAUGCCAAUACUAUCUGUAGUGGUUCCUUGGUUGAUAGAUUUUUUUUCCGACUGGUACCAGUAUUGAUCUCUGCAAUUUCCAAGGCCUCAGACACUGAAUUUGUUAUACAGCAUGCAAAGGCCAAAUCCAGAUAAAAAAUUGUGACACUGCAUUGAAUUGGAGUUGCAUCUAUGAAUCAGAUUUUGACAAUCAAAUGAUUCAUUGAUGAUAGCUGAAAAAUCUCCUGUGCACAAUUUUGUUCAGUAGUAUUUAAGUUUUCUAUCAGUACACAAUUUUGUUAACUAGUAUUUGUCCCUAUUUUGAAUUUCUGGGUUUUGUUUCUCAGUAUGUUUUCUUAAGGUUAAUCUUUUAGAGACAUGUGCUUAUGCUUAGCAUUCACCUACCUGGAGGGAAUUCUUCGAGUAUUUUGUUCUGGGAGAGCUUCUAUUUUGGUCGUGUCAUAUAUUUUGCAUCAUAGCGUGAGCAUAUGAGGUCGGUACGAUGCAGCCAAAUGAUGUUUAA